RNAcentral lists this ribosomal RNA (329 nucleotides) under uncultured bacterium. Its description in RNAcentral is "bacterial SSU rRNA". It matches the Rfam family "Bacterial small subunit ribosomal RNA", at positions 28 to 359 of the family's 1533-position model. The record is from RNAcentral.
GAUGAACGCUAGCGGCAGGCUUAACACAUGCAAGUCGAGGGGUAGAAGGAGCUUGCUCCUUUGAGACCGGCGCACGGGUGCGUAACGCGUAUGCAAUCUACCUUUUGCAGAGGGAUAGCCCAGAGAAAUUUGGAUUAAUACCUCAUAGUAUGUGAGGAUGGCAUCAUUUUCACAUUAAAGUCACAACGGCAAAGAUGAGCAUGCGUCCCAUUAGCUAGUUGGUAAGGUAACGGCUUACCAAGGCUACGAUGGGUAGGGUCCUGAGAGGGAGACUCCCCCACACUGGUACUGAGACACGGACCANACUCGUACGGGAGGCAGCAGUGAGG